Molecule: ribosomal RNA, 253 nt
Filed under: uncultured bacterium
Lineage: Bacteria
Description: partial 16S ribosomal RNA
Rfam family: Bacterial small subunit ribosomal RNA
Source: RNAcentral
UACGUAGGUGGCAAGCGUUGUCCGGAAUUAUUGGGCGUAAAGCGCGCGCAGGCGGUCCUUUAAGUCUGAUGUGAAAGCCCACGGCUCAACCGUGGAGGGUCAUUGGAAACUGGGGGACUUGAGUGCAGGAGAGAAGAGUGGAAUUCCACGUGUAGCGGUGAAAUGCGUAGAGAUGUGGAGGAACACCAGUGGCGAAGACGGCUAUCUGGACGGUUUCUGACGCUAAGACGCGAAAGCGUGGGGAGCAAACAGG